Lycium barbarum (goji berry) is the source of this 1477-nucleotide long non-coding RNA. RefSeq lists it as uncharacterized. The record is from RefSeq and is a predicted model, not a curated record. Lineage: Eukaryota; Viridiplantae; Streptophyta; Magnoliopsida; Solanales; Solanaceae. The transcript is spliced from 3 exons.
AAAACAGCUUAUAAGCUAUUUUUAAAAACUUAUAAGCCAAUCCAAAUGGGCUCUGUAUAUAGAAAUAUGAAGAGGAGGACGACCAAGGGUAGAGCAGUCACUUAGCUUAAUUAGUGCAGGAGUAGAAUAAUAAUUACACAUAACUGAUUUUAGCAAAUCCGUACUUCCUUUCCUUCUAGACCGUUCCCUUUGGGCCUCUCUUUCCUCGAGAUCACUUCUAUAUUAACAAUUGCUAAGGCCUAAGAGGCAAAGGAAUGGGCAAAGUACUCAACCAUCUUCCUCAAACCUUUUCCUCUCCCUUAUGCUCAAACUGGACACCAGUCAUCGUCAACGGGCCAUCAUUGUGCGGCGUCGACAGGGUUCCGUAGCUGAAAAUCUACAGGCGAAGGUUGUCCUAGGGUUUCUUCAAGUUGUGAAGCUUAAGAGGUUGGAGUUGAAGUUGAUCUUUGGAAUCUUAGACCCCUUAAGACUUGCAAGUUCAAGGAGUUGAAGUUGAUCUUUGGAAUCUUAGACCCCUUAAGACUUGCAAGUUCAAGAGAUAGAAGUUGGACGAUUGGAUAUACUUCAAGGUUCAGGUAGACCGACAGGUGGUCCAGCUUACUAGUUCAUACAAGUACAUGCAGAUAGUUAUUUCAGCUUAUGACUUCCGAUCUUAUUCAUGAUUCUUGUCUAUAUAUGUUGUUCUUAUGCCUUACAUACUCAGUACAUUAUCCCGUACUGACUCCCCAUUGCUCGGGGGGAUGCGUUCAUGCGUUCAGGUAGACCGACAGGUGGUCCAGCUUAGUAGGACUUCUAUCCAGCAGUGGUCAGUGCGCUCCAUUGAUCCGGAGCUGCAGUCAGUUUUGGUAUGCCUCUUUUGAGAUGUAUAUGCAUAUGGGUAUGACGGGGCCAUGUCCCGUCCUUCUACGACUUUUAUUCCAGUAGAGGUCUGUAGACAGUUGUUUGUAUUAGUCAGAUAACGUAGCCUUGUCGGCUUCUAUUCUUUUGUGUACAGUAUAUGUAGCAGUCUAGCUGGCUUGCACUGUUUUUUCAGCAUGUUUAUGUAUAUACAGAGUGUUCAAUGUUCAUGAUGUCGCUUAUUUAUGAGAUCAGUUUAAGUCAUGCAUGGGCCCUUGAUGUUCAGUAAGAUUCAGAUAUAAGUAUAGGGGUGUUUGGUCGCUAGAGGUCAGACACUCGUCACUACUCAUCGGUUUGGACUAUGACAAUUUUUAUGAAAAUCAAAUAUGUUUUAAUUGAGUUAUUGCUUCUCUUUUUUUCGUCUAGUUGUCAAAUUUAUCCUACCCACCCAUGUUGUUUUUAUGCAAUUUUCUCCUUAUUAUAUUGAAAAUUCUUUGGUACAAAUCAAUGAGAACAGGCAUCUAUAAAUUGUCUUCUUAAACAUUUACUUUCGAAGGUUUUGAUUUUUGUUCAUUGUAUGAUGUUCAAAGCCUUCGGUAGCAUUUAAGGUUUUGCUAUGUGAGUUCGGACAUGCUAUAUA